CCUACGGGAGGCAGCAGUGGGGGAUAUUGCACAAUGGGGGAAACCCUGAUGCAGCGACGCCGCGUGAGUGAAGAAGUAUUUCGGUAUGUAAAGCUCUAUCAGCAGGGACGAAAAUGACGGUACCUGAGUAAGAAGCCCCGGCUAACUACGUGCCAGCAGCCGCGGUAAUACGUAGGGGGCAAGCGUUAUCCGGAUUUACUGGGUGUAAAGGGAGCGUAGACGGUUAUGCAAGUCUGGAGUGAAAGGCGGGGGCUCAACCCCCGGACUGCUCUGGAAACUGUAGAACUAGAGUGCAGGAGGGGUAA
RNAcentral lists this ribosomal RNA (305 nucleotides) under uncultured bacterium. Its description in RNAcentral is "bacterial SSU rRNA". It matches the Rfam family "Bacterial small subunit ribosomal RNA", at positions 338 to 660 of the family's 1533-position model. The record is from RNAcentral.